UACUCCCACCUGGUUUGGUGAGAUCGGUGGGCUCGCAGUUCGCAUGGUUUGCACGGUUUGCACGUGAGAAAACUGUUCUUCGCACGAGUGCGAUUUCUCAGAAUGUGUUCUAUGAGAUGGAUUGCGAAGCAGCAUUGGAAUAUUUUCCCGGUAAGGACUAUAGCGGAACCCAGAGUAGGAGCAAGUCUUCUCACAGAAUCGAAAAAAUCAAGAUGGCAUCGAAAGCCAGCGCUGCCGUGUCCUCGUUGCGGGCUGGAGAGAAGAACCUGCGAUUGCGGACCAAAUUUCGUGUUACAACGUAGAAGACGACGUUGGGGGAACUGGGACGUGCCGCAACACGCUAGCAAGCAGUACCUGCUCGGAAAGAAGAGGACACAAGUUGCAGUGUAGGCCGCGACUUUUCGUUGAUGUGUGCGAGUGUGUGUCUAUGUAGACGUCAACGAAGGAACCUCUCUGACACUAUUCGCACACUAAGGAAGGCGCACAGCAGCUAGCCAGAUCUGUGGUUUACUUGCCUGGAUGUGCGGCGUGUGUGCAGAAAACGGAAAACCAGGAGUUGAAGUGCCAGCUGGACACCUCGCAGAACACAAUCGGUGCAGCCGGGAUUGUGAACACAUUGUGGAGCUCUCCAGCCUCAAGUCCAGGACCAAGAAUUUUCAUUUCGUGUGACAAAGUGCCGAAAGCAAGGCAAAACUGUGGAAGAAGUGCAGGAGACACACGUAAAAGAUACCCUUUUGCAUCAGAUACUCAACUGAAGAGGAGCCCCCCCUCCCCCCCUUGUUGCUCUCAAUGGAACCAAAAGUAGUAUAAAUAAAAAGCUUGUUC
This is a long non-coding RNA of Ornithodoros turicata, 825 nucleotides long. RefSeq lists it as uncharacterized. NCBI's taxonomy places the organism in Eukaryota, Metazoa, Arthropoda, Arachnida, Ixodida, Argasidae. The transcript has 6 exons. The record is from RefSeq and is a predicted model, not a curated record.